AGAGUUUGAUCAUGGCUCAGAACGAACGCUGGCGGCGUGGAUAAGACAUGCAAGUCGAACGGGGAUUAAACGGUAGCAAUAUUGUUUAAUCUUAGUGGCGAAAGGGUGCGUAACACGUGGGCAAUUUGCCAUAAAGUUCGGGAUAACUUCGAGAAAUCGAAGCUAAUACCGGAUGUGAUUACCGGAAGGCAUCUUCCGGCGAUUAAAGGUGGGGACCUUCGGGCCUGCCGCUUUUUGAUAAGCCCGCGGCCUAUCAGCUUGUUGGUGAGGUAACGGCUCACCAAGGCAACGACGGGUAGCCGGUCUGAGAGGACGAUCGGCCACACUGGAACUGAGACACGGUCCAGACACCUACGGGUGGCAGCAGUCGAGAAUCAUUCACAAUGGGGGAAACCCUGAUGGUGCGACGCCGCGUGGGGGAUGAAGGGCUUCGGUCCGUAAACCCCUGUCAUCUGUGAGCAACUGUUUUCGGUUAAUAUCCGGAAGCUUGAUAGUAGCAGAAGAGGAAGGGACGGCUAACUCCGUGCCAGCAGCCGCGGUAAUACGGAGGUCCCAAGCGUUGUUCGGAUUCACUGGGCGUAAAGGGUGCGUAGGCGGUACAGUAAGUUUGAUGUGAAAGCUCCAGGCUCAACCUGGAAAUUGCAUUGGAUACUACUGAACUAGAGGAUCGGAGAGGAGACUGGAAUUCUUGGUGUAGCAGUGAAAUGCGUAGAUAUCAAGAGGAACACCAGUGGCGAAGGCGAGUCUCUGGACGAUUCCUGACGCUGAGGCACGAAGGCCAGGGGAGCAAACAGGAUUAGAUACCCUAGUAGUCC
This 815-nucleotide ribosomal RNA is filed under the name uncultured bacterium. RNAcentral's name for it is "bacterial SSU rRNA". It matches the Rfam family "Bacterial small subunit ribosomal RNA", at positions 8 to 796 of the family's 1533-position model. The record is from RNAcentral.